CACGUAGGCACCAAGCGUUGUCCGGAUUUAUUGGGCGUAAAGAGCUCGUAGGCGGUUCAGUAAGUCAGGUGUGAAAUCUUUGGGCUUAACCCAAAGCGUGCACUUGAUACUGCUGUGACUUGAGUUCGGUAGGGGAGCGGGGAAUUCCUAGUGUAGCGGUGAAAUGCGCAGAUAUCAGGAGGAACACCAAUGGCGAAGGCAGCUCGCUGGGACGUGACUGACGCUGAGACGCGAAAGCGUGGGGAGCAAACAGG
This 254-nucleotide ribosomal RNA is filed under the name uncultured bacterium. RNAcentral describes it as "partial 16S ribosomal RNA". It matches the Rfam family "Bacterial small subunit ribosomal RNA", at positions 524 to 776 of the family's 1533-position model. The record is from RNAcentral.